AUGAACGCUGGCGGCGUGCUUAACACAUGCAAGUCGAACGAUUAAGGCUCACUUCGGUGAGUGUAUAGAGUGGCGAACGGGUGAGUAACACGUGGGAAACCUGCCCCUUUCUUCGGGAUAACUUCGGGAAACCGUUGCUAAUACCGGAUACUCCGGGAUGGUCGCAUGGCCGACCCGGGAAAGCUUUAUGUGGAAAGGGAUGGUCCCGCGGCCCAUUAGCUUGUUGGUGGGGUAAUGGCCUACCAAGGCGAUGAUGGGUAGCCG
This 264-nucleotide ribosomal RNA is filed under the name uncultured bacterium. Its description in RNAcentral is "partial 16S ribosomal RNA". It matches the Rfam family "Bacterial small subunit ribosomal RNA", at positions 29 to 289 of the family's 1533-position model. The record is from RNAcentral.